UGCCCGUGCUCUGCCUGCGCCUCCCCGGCCGCCGCCGCCGCCGGCCCCCAGCCCCCCCUUCGGCCGCCCUUUGCUCCGCGCCCCCGUGGAUCGGGAGGUCCGGCCCUGCCUGCAGCACCUUUGCCUGCAGCACACUCCCCUGCCUGCGCACCCCAAUGCCUCUGCCCUUAAACCCAUCGCACCCCGUGUCCAACAGCUUGCCCAUCUCUGGCGUCCCACUGGCAGAUCCUCCUGUCCUUGCUCGAAAUGACUUGAGGAGUUCCUUCAGGGAGAGGAAAACCAUCUCGCUCAGGAACCAAGGACUUAUUUUUGUUCCUUCUGACCAAGUCACAGAAGUGACCUCGUGUGCCAUGACGUGCUGCAAGAGGGAUCGGCGUGCGCUGGUGGAGCGGUUCCUGCCUGUGCUCCAUCGCCACGUGCCAGGGAUGAGGCACCGUGAGACUGGAAUAAACCCAAAAUCCAAUAAAGCACUGAUGAACUCUCUUUAAAGUAUCAUUUGGCUUUUAGAAGUCGCCUAGCAAGAAAACUGAGCAGCUGCUACGGAGACAAGUGAAGAGCAUCACAGAACUGGCUGCAGUCAGCAGGGCACUAAGGCAGUCUGCUCGGUGCGGUGAGAUGAUCCAUCACGAACAGGGUAGUUGAGAAAAUAAUGCAUAAUUUGGUUGAAAAUUGCUUCUGUACUUUUCAAGCCACGGUGGAAUCAUUUUGCUCACCAUUUGCUAGGACCCAAGUGGAAAUUACUAACAGCUUUCAGGUCAUCAGCCCUUAAAACUGGUGAGAUGCAAGGUAACUGUUGUGGCCAGGUAGUUGAAUUAAUAACUGGGUGUUCAUUAAUUACACCUGUACGGGGGCUGAGCACGACUGAAAAAUAACUUUCAACAUUUUUAACGAUGGGAACGAUGGACAGAGACUGUCAGUAGUGAUGUACCAAAAGCUCCUUCCCAACAGGCUGACUCUCCUGAGAUGAUCUCAAAGGUAUGGAUAUUCAGGACCAAAGUGAUGGAGCAAAGGCCAGGUGCCAGAGGUGGACUCCCAAGAGAGCCCUGAGGAGCCGUACUUAAUGAAGCAGGAAAAAGAAAGGGUCAGCUUCUCUUGGCCCCAGAAAGCAGCUCUGCUGGGGAGGGAGUACCUGCCUUUUGUGCGAUUGAUAUGCUGGAACUAAAGUGUGACCACCAAAAUAAAUUACUUAAGGGGUUACUACAGAAAACAUUAUUUUUUUUAUAACUCGUGAGGUUCAGCAGAGAGCAGAGAGCUGCUGCACUGCUGUGCAAGGGGUGCCAGCAGAGUCGCAGCCCUGCGCUCUCCCUCCAGUCUCCACUCACCAUGCUCAGUGCCGUGCUGGACCCAGAUGCUCUUAAUACCCAGUUUUAAAUCAAUUUGUGCUUGUAAACCACCUUACCAGUUGAUUUUCAUGCUUUUCUGUAUAUGCUAAACCCAUGACUACCCCUGACUAUAUCAAUCUGCGUGUGCUAAUGCUCAGCAGCUCCCUCAAGCUACGCCACCUGCCGUGGGGACCCCCUUUGUGCCCAGGGGACCGGGGAGGUGCUGUGGGGUCCCAUGGGGACUGGAGCAUCCCUCGCACUGGGAGAGGCACAAACUGACCCAGAGGAAACUCCACCUGCACACGGUGAGGAGAGACCAGUGCCCUGUUUCCUUUUUCCCCAUGUGCUUUUAAAGUUUAUUUGUUCUACUCUUGACAGGAAAGCAGGUCAGCAAAGGGCACAGCGCUUCACAUCCACCCCAGCAGACGUUGCUUUUGCAGCCGCCACGGCAGAGGGUGCUCCCCCACCGCCGGUGGGGUUUCUGCCAAAGGUCAAGGUACGCUUUUUCCCCCUCCCCUACAAUGAAUUUCUGCGUUACGCGCUGGCAGGGCAUCAGGACAUCCAGCAGUGAUUCAGCCGCUGUUUCGAAGCGCAUCACAUACCACAGCAAUCUGUCAUUCCCGCGUAACAGGGCAACAUUACACACGCCAGGGAGCAUCUGACCAGGGGCUCUUUCUAGACCGACAAGUGGAGUGAUUCAGCAGCAGGAAACAUCCAGACAAAAGGCUCUCCCUGCUGCAAGGCUACCGGAGCCGAUGCUUUCCCAAAUUCUAGAUACAGCUUUAACGUGGAUUUUAGGGUGCGCCUCUGCACACCACCCCCCACCGACACAACAUCCCCAUUUUCUUUCACGCCUCUGUAGAGGAAAAUGCUCACUCUCAUCCCCACCAGAGCACAGCUCCGCAAAAGAUCCAAACCUAACCAAAAGCACCAGGUAUCACUCUGCGGGGAAGGGUCGGGAGGAUGCUCUUCUGGCAGCUACAAGCCAUCAGAUAACUGCCAGGAACUGCACCGCGAGUUGCAAAAUCCUCAUUUCACUAAAACAUAGACGCGUACCGAAGGACACGUGUUCUUGACUCUGCAUUUGUCAACCCCUGCUGAGUAAUUCAAAGGAAGCGUAAGGCCGUGACUAAGAAAACGCGGUGAAAAAGAAUGAGAAGACUGCAAAGGUCAUCUCCAGUGGCGGGGACUUCACCUUCCCACGGAACAGUCCUGCACCGUCCAAAAUGCGAACCACAGCACCAUAGCCCCGCAACGCUCGCGCCAGGCAGGGAGCUGGGCGGGGAUCGGGGCGCUCUCAGCGUGGGGCAGUGCUGCAUACCCCACAGGGUGCGUAGAAAGGAGCACCAACUUGGCUAGGGAUGGGAUGGUACUGCUGAAAGCCCAUUGGCCAGUCUUACAUCCAGACAGAAAAAACUGAUACAGAUUCUUAAAAAAUAUCCAGGUGUUUGCAAAAACCUUCCUAAGACACCUGGGAUACUGUUAGCCACCUUCGUCUCCAGGCAGCUGCAGCAGGUAAGGCUUAUUUCUUCAGUCUCUUGCUUCAUGCAAUUGCUUAUUAUUUGCCAAACUGCUUCCGAGGGCAAAAGUGGAAAGCAUUUUCUUCCCCACAUCAGUAGAGAACAUAGGUUUUUUUGACUUCAGAAAGUAUACUACUACGUCUAUGCAAAGAAAAACCCAACACACUCUCAGUGUAAGCUGACGUGGAAAGCUCAAUGCACCUCCUCCAAAGACUGAAAAUAUAAUUAAAGCAUAGAUUUACUGUGCAGGAUGACAAGAUACACUAUGGAGUGUUUGCCUAAGAUCAUUUAAAUACAAUAGAUAAUGUAAUAGCUGAAAUCCAAAAUGAGUGAUUCUGUGCCCAUUUUAAAAUGAGAAAUGGACAAAGAACCUUAAGGGCAUUUAUCCUUCACGGCACAGCAAAUGACUGGCCCCUCCCAAGAGAAAUGGGAUGUAGCUCAGAGUACACCAGCACUUGCCCUGGGAUUACCUGUUUUUUGUUAGGCCGACAAGACUAUUAACAACAGCUCCCACUGAGUAAAAAUUUCAGGGUAAAACAGGUACAAGGUAAAACAACACAGUGGAAAUCAAACAAAAGGUCACAAGGCUGCAGGUCAACAGGGUCCUGUAACUGCUCUUAGUCCAUGAAAAAAAGUGUGGAAAUCACUACCCAGGAAAGAGGUAGAGGAACUUGGGUUCAAAAGCUGAGAGAACAGUGGCAGAUGUAGCGUCACUGCUCUUGCUCGGUUUUCCAGUCUUCCAUGUGUGGUCACCAUCAGAGCUAUGACACAAGGCUGAUGGAAGUUCUAGUCUGACAGAAGCGCUCCAAAUUUUGCGCAUCAUUUUCCAGUAAGCGUAUGAAGUGCAUGAACCCGAGUAGGCAAAAUGGCACGGUAGUGGUAGGAGAUUGUAACCUGAUAGCUAUAUCCACAUAUGCGGCUAAAAUGCGAUAAAUGUGUACUCUUUAAAAGGACAAUCAUCAGUGAAUAAGAAAAAGUCAAUGUUAUUUCAUUGCCUAAGUGUACAGUUAUCUACUUCCACUGAAGCCCUCUCUGUGUGUUACAGACAAUAGUCUGCUAACAGCUCACCCACCUGAAAGCUCAACAGUGUUACCAAGAGUUUAUUACAAGUCUUGCUCCGUGCCUACAGUGCUGCAGAACGACACCCCUUGCUCCUGCAGUUUGCACAGGGACUUCUCUACACCCUGGGUUUACACAGUUUUUCAGAUCUAGAAUGA
Molecule: non-coding RNA, 4059 nt
Organism: Phalacrocorax carbo (great cormorant)
Lineage: Eukaryota; Metazoa; Chordata; Aves; Suliformes; Phalacrocoracidae
Source: RefSeq, a predicted model, not a curated record